UACGGAGGGUGCAAGCGUUAAUCGGAAUUACUGGGCGUAAAGCGCACGCAGGCGGUCUGUUAAGUCAGAUGUGAAAUCCCCGGGCUCAACCUGGGAACUGCAUUUGAAACUGGCAGGCUUGAGUCUCGUAGAGGGGGGUAGAAUUCCAGGUGUAGCGGUGAAAUGCGUAGAGAUCUGGAGGAAUACCGGUGGCGAAGGCGGCCCCCUGGACGAAGACUGACGCUCAGGUGCGAAAGCGUGGGGAGCGAUCCGG
This 253-nucleotide ribosomal RNA is filed under the name uncultured bacterium. RNAcentral describes it as "partial 16S ribosomal RNA". It matches the Rfam family "Bacterial small subunit ribosomal RNA", at positions 524 to 776 of the family's 1533-position model. The record is from RNAcentral.